This is a non-coding RNA of Pelobates cultripes (western spadefoot toad), 206 nucleotides long. The record is from the annotation of a GenBank genome assembly. NCBI's taxonomy places the organism in Eukaryota, Metazoa, Chordata, Amphibia, Anura, Pelobatidae.
ACUGCUGCCCUCACUCACACACUACAACCUUCACACACACUCUGCACCCCUUACACAUUGCACCACUCACACACACCACUGGUCCUAUGCCCUACUUCAGCCCCAUUUCCCAGCAGAUCUCAGGUAAGUUGUCAAACUGUUCUUAAACGGUUUGACUACUUACUGUGGGAGGGGGUCCCGGCACUAUUGACACCAUAACCACUACA